AAGUGCAGAAAACCUCACAGAGAUGGUUGGCCUUGAGAUCUUUCCAGUUCAGCAGGAGCAGUGAGGAUGGCACAGAAUUCAGUAGCAGUUCUGCUCUUGAGCUAACUGGAUAUCGUAUUCAGCAUUACGCACUUGGAGAGCUCUGACAGCCCACAGAUGAAGGAGCACCUACAUUAGCAGCACCAGAUCCAAUUGUGUCUGGAAAAUUCAGGUUUGGUUGUCAGCUACUGAGCCCAGGCCAGAUCUCAUGCGUGGAAAUGCAAUCAUUCUCUCCAGUGCUUUCACACCUGCCUGCUUCCAGUUUUGUGCCCAAGCAGAGCCCUUCCCUUGAAAGACAGCCAGACCUCCUCUGCUACAUCUUUGUGGGCAUAUCCUCAUCUCUUCUACCCAAAGACUGAGUCCUUUACCCCUGCAAGCAGCAAUACCCUGACAAGAGCAGUGGCAUGGAAGAUCCCUGUUCUUCCACUAAUUAAUGGGGGCAGGCAGGGUACCAGGGCAGACCCUCAGACACUCCAGUUGCCCAGGUCUGCCUCUCCCUUCUGGAACUGCAGACACGUUGCAGACAGGAGCAGCUCAGGGUGCAAGCUGCUGUCCUUUACCAAACACACUGCACGGUGCGUGGUCUAUGAGUGAUCACAAAUAUCCCUUUGGAUUUAAGCUGGGAAUCCCUGAAUCUGCACCUUGUCCUGCUGUUACUCUUCUGAAUUUUUCCUCCCACUCUCCGAACACAAGGCUAUCUUUCUUUCCUAGAUCUUGACUAAUUCAUUUAUUCAGCCACUUAUUCUGCACACUGGAUUUUCUCCAUCUUUCUCUUCUCAAUUCCUUAUCCUCUUGAUUAUUCCCUUCUCCCUGUUCUUUCUUUAUCUUCUUAUUUCCCUUUCUCCUCCUUUCUUCCAAUGCUGCUGUUUUUCCCCCCUCCCUCCUUCCUCCCCUCUUUUUCAUUUUUAUCAUUCCAUUCAUAUCCUAUUCAUUUCCUUCCUCAUCCAAUAUUUUCAAGGAGGUAUCCAAUCUUCUCAUUUCAGAUUAAUCAACACUCCCCUUGUUUUCUUUGCAUUCUGCUCUCUGCUUUCCCUUGUUUUCUCUCCCUGCCCCUCUCUCAGAGGACCUUGGCCUCCCCUGUCCCCAGCUGGAGCCCAGGUCCCACCAGCAGCCCUCACUCCAGCAGAGGGCAAUAGUGGAUUUUCAUGGGCUCCUUGCUGACAGGAGAAGGGGGACAGAGCCCACUCUGAGCAAUCUCAUUUCCUUGGGGGUCUCAGCAGCCAAGGUGGAUGGGAAACACAGGAGUUACUCAUCUGCCUGCCACCUACCUCAUCCAGGAGCCCAGCCACCUGAGCACCCUUUGCUCUACCUCCCAAAGGCUCACAGUUCCUCACAGUCGCUGACAGCUCACGUCUCUCUCUCAAUUUAAAUUCAGACGUAAUCAUCUCUGACCAGAGCAUUCGCCUGUGGGCUUGGAAACUCCAUUUUGUCAACAUGCAGAAGCCUUUCUGCUUUUAUUUUUUUAUUUGCUUUUGCAUUUGCUGGCUUAAUGCAAGUUUCCAUCAAAGCAAUGAAACCAGCACAGCUAUGGUCUCCUUUGUCCUCUCUCUAGCCAUUAAACCACUGGCAGGAGCAGUUUAUAUUUUCAUAUGCCUAAUUACUACCUAUCUUCUCAGUUGAAUAGCUCAUAUUCUUCUCUUUUCAGAAGAGGCCAGGAAUUCAGUUUAAUAAAUAUACAUUGCCAGAACCACUGAACCUCACUGGCAGGGUAGGCAGGAGGACGUGUAAGGAUGGAUAUGUAACACGUGGCUUCACCCAAAGACCAUCCUUCCUCCUCUGAUGGUAACAUCUGGGGGGCUACCCUAGCACCGACUCCUUGCAGCGAAAUAAGUCUGGCACAGCAGCAUCUUUUCCUUAACAAAAGAAACAGGUUCACAGUAUCCUAGAGGGUACAGAUUGAAAAGGCCUUAAAAAAGUGUGUUAUCUCUUUGUUCUCCACCACCAUGGAAUCAGUAAUGUCUAAUAUAUAGUGUGGAUUUCAUAUUGAGCUAAUUUCAGCUGACUAGCAGGUAAGUAUCUAGUCCUAGUGAGACAGCUAGAUCCCCAUCUUGUAAACAGAGAGAUAAUGUUAUUAUACAGUAGAGGGUUAAAAAGAAAAACAAGUUAUUUAUUGUUAUUAUUAUAAUCAUCAUCAUCAUUAUCAUUAUUAUCAUUAUUAAUAAACACCAAAAAGGUAUGACAGGUGACUUUGACCUCCUGAUGACUUUCUCCAAAAAGUUUGACAAACCUAAAAGUGCAAUACAGAUCUGAAAAUGAACUCAGUACAAAAACUUUGCAAGUGAAAUGUGGAAGAAAGGGAGAGAUGGAGAUAUUGUAUGUCUGAGAAAGGAGAGAAUGGGGAGGAGAAAACAAAUUGAAAAGGCAAUAAUCUAGAGCUCCCAUGAGUCCCACUUCUCAAGUCUGGCCAGCAGCCAGUAUAACAGCUAUAUAUUAUGGCAAGUGGUGUUUGUUUCCUGACCUGUGUUUUUAACACAAAAUAAAACAGUCUCAAGAACUGGGAUGAUGAUUGCCCACUUUGUAAAACCAGUAGCUCACUUCCUGACAAGGUUUUCAAAGGUGAACACCAGCACAGAGGACAGUGCAUGCUAGGGACAACCUGGGAGCAGCUGCGGGCCAUGCCACAGAUAUAAUGCCACACCUGAAGCAUCUGAACUCUAUCUAGGAGUGAGUAUCUGCCUAUCUUCAAGCAAACUGUGUGUCUGCUCCUGUAUGAACCCAAGAACUUUCUAAAGGUCGAGCUAAGGAGAGGAGAGAAAAAAAAUAAAAAAAUAAAAAAAUAAAAAAAAAAAGAA
Anas platyrhynchos (mallard) is the source of this 2831-nucleotide non-coding RNA. The record is from RefSeq and is a predicted model, not a curated record. NCBI's taxonomy places the organism in Eukaryota, Metazoa, Chordata, Aves, Anseriformes, Anatidae.